This 253-nucleotide ribosomal RNA is filed under the name uncultured bacterium. RNAcentral describes it as "partial 16S ribosomal RNA". It matches the Rfam family "Bacterial small subunit ribosomal RNA", at positions 524 to 776 of the family's 1533-position model. The record is from RNAcentral.
UACGUAGGGUGCAAGCGUUGUCCGGAAUUAUUGGGCGUAAAGAGCUCGUAGGCGGUCUGUCGCGUCUGCUGUGAAAACUCAGGGCUUAACCCUGAGCUUGCAGUGGGUACGGGCAGACUAGAGUGCGGUAGGGGAGACUGGAACUCCUGGUGUAGCGGUGAAAUGCGCAGAUAUCAGGAGGAACACCGGUGGCGAAGGCGGGUCUCUGGGCCGUAACUGACGCUGAGGAGCGAAAGCAUGGGGAGCGAACAGG